UUAAAUAUUAUUUUUCUCAGCGCUUAAAUAUUUUUUUCCUAAAAUGGCAUCUAAAGUUAAAUUUAGCCAAAUGGCUCCAAUUGCAUUAAUAAAUCGACUGACACAUGGCAUAUAUUAGAAAAUGUUGUGUGGCAUUUUAACCAUUUAGAAUGCAGUAAAAUUUUAAUAAAUUGUUAAAUAUAUAAAUAUAGUUUCAAAAAAACCAAAAA
Molecule: long non-coding RNA, 209 nt
Filed under: Gossypium raimondii (Peruvian cotton)
Lineage: Eukaryota; Viridiplantae; Streptophyta; Magnoliopsida; Malvales; Malvaceae
Description: long non-coding RNA (GRAI_LNC003205)
Source: RNAcentral